RNAcentral lists this ribosomal RNA (65 nucleotides) under uncultured bacterium. RNAcentral's name for it is "partial 16S ribosomal RNA". The record is from RNAcentral.
UGAGGAACAUGACCUUCGGCGGGGAUAGCCGGCCCAACGGCCGGGUAAUACCGCGUACGACCACU